AGUGAACGCUGGCGGUAGGCCUAACACAUGCAAGUCGAACGGCAGCUCAGUAAGAGCUUGCUCUUACGGGUGGCGAGUGGCGGACGGGUGAGGAAUACAUCGGAAUCUACUUUUUCGUGGGGGAUAACGUAGGGAAACUUACGCUAAUACCGCAUACGACCUACGGGUGAAAGCAGGGGAUCUUCGGACCUUGCGCGAUUGAAUGAGCCGAUGUCGGAUUAGCUAGUUGGCGGGGUAAAGGCCCACCAAGGCGACGAUCCGUAGCUGGUCUGAGAGGAUGAUCAGCCACACCGGAACUGAGACACGGUCCAGACUCCUACGGGAGGCAGCAGUGGGGAAUAUUGGACAAUGGGCGCAAGCCUGAUCCAGCCAUACCGCGUGGGUGAAGAAGGCCUUCGGGUUGUAAAGCCCUUUUGUUGGGAAAGAAAAGCAGCAGGUUAAUACCCCGCUGUUCUGACGGUACCCAAAGAAUAAGCACCGGCUAACUUCGUG
This 492-nucleotide ribosomal RNA is filed under the name uncultured bacterium. Its description in RNAcentral is "partial 16S ribosomal RNA". It matches the Rfam family "Bacterial small subunit ribosomal RNA", at positions 29 to 507 of the family's 1533-position model. The record is from RNAcentral.